Molecule: long non-coding RNA, 480 nt
Organism: Xenia sp. Carnegie-2017
Lineage: Eukaryota; Metazoa; Cnidaria; Anthozoa; Malacalcyonacea; Xeniidae
Exons: 4
Source: RefSeq, a predicted model, not a curated record
GAGUAUAAUGGAAGGAGCUUUGCAAUCAGUUUUUGAUCGCUUUUGGCAAUGGAGGUUGAAGGAAGCGCCUGAAUUUGGCACUAUGAUAGGAGAACAUGGCUAUGAUGAUGAUUUAGGAAAAUGCCAAAGAGUUCGUUGCAGAACUGGAAAAUAUUGAUAUGAAUCUACUAAGCAAGGAAGAUAAUAUGAACUGUAAAUUGUUGCAUCUUGAGCUGUCUACAUAUGUCAGUGGCAUGGGGUUCAAAUGUCAUUUGUUUCCUGUGAAUUGUUUGGAAGGGCCGCAUAUUGACUUUAAGAAAACUAUCUCAUGGAUGAAAACAGAGAACAUGAAAGAUAUUGAAAAAGUUCUAUCAAGAUUUAAUAAAUUUCCAGUUAAGGUAGCUACUGGGACAUACCAAGAAGCAGUGCGCAAAUUAGUUCAGAAAAAAUGAUGUGCAAUUUUUUUGACAAAAGUGUUUCUUUAGAGACAUAAUCAAAUCG